AUUGAACGCUGGCGGCAUGCCUUACACAUGCAAGUCGAACGGUAACAGGCCUUCGGGUGCUGACGAGUGGCGAACGGGUGAGUAAUGCAUCGGAACGUACCCAGUGGUGGGGGAUAACGCAGCGAAAGCUGUGCUAAUACCGCAUGUGAUCUGAGGAUGAAAGCGGGGGACCGAGCAGCAAUGUUUGGCCUCGCGCCUUUGGAGCGGCCGAUGUCGGAUUAGCUAGUUGGUGGGGUAAAGGCCUACCAAGGCGACGAUCCGUAGCUGGUCUGAGAGGACGACCAGCCACAGUGAGACUGAGACACGGCCCAGACUCCUGCGGGAGACAGCAGUGGAGAAUUUUGGACAAGGGGCGAAGGCCAGAUCCAGCCAUGCCGCGAGCGGGAAAAGGGCCUUCGGGUGUAAACCGCUUUUGGCAGGAAGAAAGCUGUGUCCGCUAAUACCGGGCGCUAAUGACGGUACCUGCAGAAUAAGCACCGGCUAACUACGUG
Molecule: ribosomal RNA, 491 nt
Filed under: uncultured bacterium
Lineage: Bacteria
Description: partial 16S ribosomal RNA
Rfam family: Bacterial small subunit ribosomal RNA
Source: RNAcentral